Myxocyprinus asiaticus (Chinese sucker) is the source of this 896-nucleotide long non-coding RNA. RefSeq lists it as uncharacterized. The transcript has 2 exons. NCBI's taxonomy places the organism in Eukaryota, Metazoa, Chordata, Actinopteri, Cypriniformes, Catostomidae. The record is from RefSeq and is a predicted model, not a curated record.
UAUACUAAUUUAAAUAGAUAGGAGCUGUACUGUUAUGCCCCUUGUUACAUAGAAAAUAACUGCCCGGGAGCGCUCCAAACAAAGAUGGCCGCCGAGUGGACUGACUUGCUUUGAAAGGGACUUUGAUUCAAAUGAAGAGUCGGCUUAUUGAACCCUUACUGCGCCCUCUGGCGGAAGACAUGCGACAUUUGCAUCCACCCACUCCCGCUGCUUGACGCGAUUGGCUAUUUUCGUUUCACGCUAACAUGACGACACAGUUCUUAUAAAAACACGCGAAUGCUUCCUUCUCUUUCUCUGUGCUGUGGCAGUGCUCAGAAGAGGUUGUGCGCUUUUUGCAGUGUCACUUUUGCAAGGUUUGGGACACUGAUGUGAGUAUUUGUGAGCCUCACGUCGGCAUGCUUGGGUUGAUCAUGUAAUCUAAGAUGGAACGGAGAGUUAUCACAACGUAACAGAAAUCGUGGAGGUUCUCGCCUCUAGAGACUGCCGUUUUGAAUGUCUUGAUAAUUUUGCCUUUGAUUAAAGUGACCCAGUUGUAGACUUGUGCGCACACCAGGGGCCUGAUUCACAAAAUCAUCAACGUUUAUAAUUUUAUAUUGACGAACUGCUUGUUUAUCCCUAACUAGUUUUACUUUAAAAUUUGUCGGGAAUCUGGCCCCAGGGAUGUCGUUUCCAGUGAUCAUCAGAUGGCUUGAUAAAAUGGUAUCGGGUCUGCAUCGUUUUUGAGUUACAAAAAUCUGUUGUAAUGAGCGUGACGUUUUUUUAAUUUAGUGUUUGGCAGCAACUAAUCCGCAUGCACACUUUGUUUUUAUUACUGAACAUUCCUUAAACAACUGACAUGUUUAACCUGUAUAAAUUGUGUUCCUGAUGUAACAAAUACAAAUUUUUUUUUUCUGGUC